GUACUAAUGUCAUUGAUUUCUCCCUUCUGAUGAAUCAUGAUGUCAUUAAUUUGAUGUUGUGGGGAGUCAGGACUGUUACUUUGAAAAAAUUAGAGUGUUUAAAGCAAGCACGCGCUUGAAUACAUUAGCAUGGAAUAAUGAAAUAGGACGUUCGAUUCUAUUUUGUUGGUUUCUAGGAUCAACGUAAUGAUUAAUAGGGAUAGUUGGGGGCAUUAGUAUUCAAUUGUCAGAGGUGAAAUUCUUGGAUUUAUUGAAGACUAACUACUGCGAAAGCAUUUGCCAAGGAUGUUUUCAUUAAUCAAGAACGAAAGUUAGGGGAUCGAAGACGAUCAGAUACCGUCGUAGUCUUAACCAUAAACUAUGCCGACUAGGGAUCGGAUGAUGUUAAUUUUUUAAUGACUCAUUCGGCGCGUUACG
This 417-nucleotide ribosomal RNA is filed under the name uncultured Glomeromycotina. RNAcentral describes it as "SSU rRNA". It matches the Rfam family "Eukaryotic small subunit ribosomal RNA", at positions 677 to 1092 of the family's 1831-position model. The record is from RNAcentral. Lineage: Eukaryota; Fungi; Glomeromycota.